Apis dorsata (giant honeybee) is the source of this 1364-nucleotide RNA transcript. RefSeq lists it as uncharacterized. The transcript has 5 exons. Lineage: Eukaryota; Metazoa; Arthropoda; Insecta; Hymenoptera; Apidae. The record is from RefSeq and is a predicted model, not a curated record.
CGUCACAUUCCAAGUCACAGAAUGGUCAGAAUGUUUGCUUUUCCUCGUUCGACGAAUUUCACGAGCGUUGUUUUCACUCCGGGAAGUCGUGUAUGGAAAAAAAGGCAGCAAGGCAAGCAGCUAAGGCUUGACCGAAAGGUACUGGCGACGGUGCUUUUAAAGCUGUACCGCGUGUUUGUUUGCGGCCCGUGUUAAUUCGUCGUACAAAUAACCGGCGACGGCCCUCGGACCACGAACGAUUCGUAGCCGUUGCAAAUGAUCAGUUCCUCGCGGGCAAUACGUGUAACUGCAUUGCGUUUCACCGUUCCAUCGCGUGAUCUUUGAAAAAAGGCAAAUGAAUGCCUCUCGGUGUGCUGGGUGAAGUGAUGUCUUAAGCAGUGGAUGCUUCGUAUCGAAUACGCUAGUUGUUUGCGAUGGAUUAUCGAGUUCGUUCCGCAACGAAAAUACAUCGGAUUAUACGCAGCCAUUAUCCAUCGAAACACACUUGAAAUCGUGGAGAAGAACGAAACAAGUCAAUACGUGUGGAGGUUUACGACGUCGGGGUUGGAAAUCAACGAAGAGAACGGCCGCGUCGCAAUAGGGAGACCACUCGUGCUCGGGAGUGUCGAAUGAAUGAUACGCAAACAGUAUUGGAUCAUUUUGAAUCUGCGGGGACGAUCCACUCGCUAUGGCGUCAAUUUUCUUCCCGACGUUUGGAGAAAUCUUCUUUGAGAGUUGGCAUCUUGCGUCUUUUUUGUACUAUCUUCUUGAAUUUUUGUUGAAUAUCAAGAAAUGUAAUUUAAUGGCAGGAAAUUAUGUAACUACUUUUACAUGGAAAUAACGAAGUACCGUGACGGAAGUAGAUCAAAACGAUGCUCCUCUUGUUCAAAAGCGGAAUUUUGCACGCGCGUGCGAUUGUGUAUACAACUAUUAAGUGCUUACAUUUAUGUCUCUCAUAAUUGGCUUCGUUAAAUGAAGAGAGUGACUGAGGAAUUAGCUUGCCGGUAAUAACCCGGCUAUUUAUUAACACGUGAAACGAGACGCUAUGGGUCGCGCGAACUAACAUAUCCGACACAUGAGGGUCGAUCCUCGAGAAACAUCUUGCUUGGUAUCGUUUGUUAUUUCGUUAAGGAAAAAACUGACCUGCUGGCCUACAUUCCAUCCUGUUUUCACUUCCUGUCGGUAUAGAAGGAUUUCACGAGUUAGGAAAAAAAGGAUCCUGAAAGAACUCGAAGAUUUCACUUUUCUCUUUGUCUUCAAAUCGAAGAUAAUUUUGUUUUGAAAAUUUAAUGAAUAAUUAAUGAUAACAAUAAUAAUGAAAAACAUAACGAAACGAAUAAAAUUUAAAAGGGAAAAAUAGGAAGAGAUUCUCGUAUGGUUUUCUU